CGGGAUAUGGCGCAGUUUGGUAGCGCACUCGCUUUGGGAGCGAGGGGUCGUGGGUUCAAAUCCCGCUAUCCCGA
This is a transfer RNA of Corynebacterium resistens DSM 45100, 74 nucleotides long. It matches the Rfam family "tRNA". From Rfam's summary of the family: Transfer RNA (tRNA) molecules are approximately 80 nucleotides in length. Their secondary structure includes four short double-helical elements and three loops (D, anti-codon, and T loops). Further hydrogen bonds mediate the characteristic L-shaped molecular structure. tRNAs have two regions of fundamental functional importance: the anti-codon, which is responsible for specific mRNA codon recognition, and the 3' end, to which the tRNAs corresponding amino acid is attached (by aminoacyl-tRNA synthetases). tRNAs cope with the degeneracy of the genetic code in two manners: having more than one tRNA (with a specific anti-codon) for a particular amino acid; and 'wobble' base-pairing, i.e. permitting non-standard base-pairing at the 3rd anti-codon position. The record is from Rfam. NCBI's taxonomy places the organism in Bacteria, Bacillati, Actinomycetota, Actinomycetes, Mycobacteriales, Corynebacteriaceae.